This is a non-coding RNA of Bactrocera oleae (olive fruit fly), 772 nucleotides long. Lineage: Eukaryota; Metazoa; Arthropoda; Insecta; Diptera; Tephritidae. The record is from RefSeq and is a predicted model, not a curated record.
AGAAAAUAUAACACGAAUUAUUGUACUUUUUGAAAAAAAAAAUAUAAACACGCAAUUUAUAUAAUAGUUUAAAAUAAUUUCAACAUUUUACAAGUGUGAGGAAUUCAAAUACAGCUUAAGUUGACUCAAGCUCACAAAAUAGAUAUACUUGUACGAAUGUAUAUAAAAUCACAAAAUAAAAGCAAAUAGCUUUUCAGUGGCACAAUACAAAGCAUUUGCAGGACUUAAACUCAAAGCUAUGCGAUUCUAAAAUCAAUUUGUUAAAGGGAAACUGAAUGCGACUAUGGCUAGUGAGAAAAGUCAUACAAAUUGAAAUCUACCGAUAAGCAAAUCGAAUUGUAACAGUUUUUGUAGAAACAACAGCUCAGAAGCUCAGCAGGAAUUGGCGAAAGCUGUGAAAAAGACCAAUAAGCUUACAAAGAAACGCGGCGGCGAACUCAUAAAGGCAAGCAAAAUCACUUAGUACACGCUUUUUGUUGUGAUUACAACUAUUGUUGUUGCCUGUCGCAACAAUUGCAUUUUAUGACAGAAUGUUUGAACAGCAGCUAUCGGCACCAACCAUCAGCAACAGCAACACAAUGUCACAACGAAAUGACAGUUUGUUUGGCAAUCGAGAAUAUCGAUUUCAAGUGCGCAUAAAUACACAUACCUACAAACAAAUAUACAUGGAUAUGUGGGUAGUUGUGUGUGAGAGCAUACAAAUUGUGCAAAAUUUUACUAUGUCAGUAAAGUAAGCGGCAAAAUGUGCAAUAAACGAAAGCUUUAAAAUUUA